AUUGAACGCUGGCGGCAGGCCUAACACAUGCAAGUCGAGCGGAUGAAGGAAGCUUGCUUCCCGAUUCAGCGGCGGACGGGUGAGUAAUGCCUAGGAAUCUGCCUAUUAGUGGGGGAUAACUCGGGGAAACUCGGGCUAAUACCGCAUACGUCCUACGGGAGAAAGUGGGGGAUCUUCGGACCUCACGCUAAUAGAUGAGCCUAGGUCGGAUUAGCUAGUUGGUGAGGUAACGGCUCACCAAGGCGACGAUCCGUAGCUGGUCUGAGAGGAUGAUCAGCCAAACUGGAACUGAGACACGGUCCAGACUCCUACGGGAGGCAGCAGUGGGGAAUAUUGGACAAUGGGCGAAAGCCUGAUCCAGCCAUGCCGCGUGUGUGAAGAAGGUCUUCGGAUUGUAAAGCACUUUAAGUUGGGAGGAAGGUCUGUAAGCUAAUAUCUUGCAGUCUUGACGUUACCAACAGAAUAAGCACCGGCUAACUCUGUGCCAGCCGCCGCCGUAA
RNAcentral lists this ribosomal RNA (500 nucleotides) under uncultured bacterium. Its description in RNAcentral is "partial 16S ribosomal RNA". It matches the Rfam family "Bacterial small subunit ribosomal RNA", at positions 30 to 523 of the family's 1533-position model. The record is from RNAcentral.